AUGAAUAAUACUGGAGAGAACGCAUUAUGCGUCGCCGAAGGAGCAAGCCGAUUCCGGUGAAUCUCUCAGGCAAAAGGACAGUAUUGCGACG
RNAcentral lists this non-coding RNA (91 nucleotides) under Jeotgalicoccus saudimassiliensis. RNAcentral's name for it is "Glycine riboswitch aptamer". It matches the Rfam family "Glycine riboswitch aptamer". From Rfam's summary of the family: This family represents the bacterial glycine riboswitch. The record is from Rfam by way of RNAcentral. RNAcentral also lists the same sequence under 1 other name. Lineage: Bacteria; Bacillati; Bacillota; Bacilli; Caryophanales; Staphylococcaceae.